This 161-nucleotide ribosomal RNA is filed under the name Biatora ligni-mollis. RNAcentral's name for it is "5.8S ribosomal RNA". The stretch from base 1 to 130 matches the Rfam family "5.8S ribosomal RNA", at positions 25 to 154 of the family's 154-position model. Rfam says of the family: 5.8S ribosomal RNA (5.8S rRNA) is a component of the large subunit of the eukaryotic ribosome. It is transcribed by RNA polymerase I as part of the 45S precursor that also contains 18S and 28S rRNA. Functionally, it is thought that 5.8S rRNA may be involved in ribosome translocation. Lineage: Eukaryota; Fungi; Ascomycota; Lecanoromycetes; Lecanorales; Ramalinaceae. The record is from RNAcentral.
UUCUGGCAUCGAUGAAGAACGCAGCGAAAUGCGAUAAGUAAUGUGAAUUGCAGAAUUCAGUGAAUCAUCGAAUCUUUGAACGCACAUUGCGCCCCUCGGUAUUCCGGGGGGCAUGCCUGUUCGAGCGUCAUUGCGACCCUCAAGCGUAGCUUGGUAUUGGG